Long non-coding RNA from Equus quagga, 963 nucleotides. RefSeq lists it as uncharacterized. The record is from RefSeq and is a predicted model, not a curated record. NCBI's taxonomy places the organism in Eukaryota, Metazoa, Chordata, Mammalia, Perissodactyla, Equidae. The transcript has 2 exons.
GGAAAUAUUUAAUGGGUACAGAGUUUCUGUUUGGGAUGAGGAAAGAGUUCUAGAAAUGAAUGGUGAUCUUUGUACAACAUUGUGAAUGUACUUAAUGCCAUGGAAUUUGUACACCUAAAAAUGAUUAUAAUGGUAAAUUUUAUGUUAUAUAUUUUACCACAAUCAAAAUACAAUGGAGGCUAAAAAAUUAUUUAAAGCUAAUAUGCUACAAGUUAUUAUAAAUUACAACUCUUUUAAUUCUUAAGUAAUAUUGUUACUUAAGCAUCUCCUAGCGGGUAGCAAGAGUAUAUAAUGAAGUAUAAGAAGGAUAUAAAAUAACAAUUACUUCAGUUAUUGAACAGUGGACCAAACUAGUCUUUAUGCAGGUAAUGGCCAUUUAGGCCAGAUUGGAGAAAGUAAGGUAAACCUAGUGUGUUCACUACCAGCAUAUUCUUACCUAAAGUCUUUCAUGAUUCAAACUACUGUUUCUGUACUUAAUUCAUGUGUGUGAUGUAGCAGACAUGAUUCCUGUUCACCAAUAUCUGAUUCUCCACCAACUUAGAGCACACAGAAGAUGGUAUUUGUAAGCCCCCUUAAAGUUAGGGAAGACUUUGUGAAUUAGUUCUAGCCAAUGGGCUGUGGGUUAAGUGAUGACUGUCAUUUCUGGACCUAAACUUACAAGACCUGAUGCACUGUCCCAUCGACCAAGAAGGCCAUAUGUUUCAAUAAUGCAGCUACAGACUGGUAAAUUCUCUGUCAGCCUGGAUCACUGAGUUGUUUCAUGGGAAAGAGUGGCCAGAAAGAGCCCCAAAUCAGCAAAAGACAUUGCAAUGAUCACAAGUGAGGAGGCCUGGUGUUGAAAUGAUAGAGCCACAAGACAAUCAGCCUGGAUUACAAAGUCACCAGUUGGAAAACAGUUGCCUCUGCAGACUACCCGGACUCACAGUGGACUCUGGGUGAGCAAGAAAUAAACUGUUAAGUCAU